GUGAAUUACGUGCCAGCAUCAUCGGUAUUACGGUGGGUUGAAGGUUUAAUGGUAAUUACUGGGCGGAACGCGCACGCAGGCGGUGUGAUAAGUUAGAUGUGAAAGCCCCGGGCUCAACCGGGGAAUUGCAUUUAAAACUGUCCAGCUAGAGUCUUGUAGAGGGGGGUAGAAUUCCAGGUGUAGCAGUGAAAUGCGUAGAGAUGUGGAGGAACACCGAUGGCGAAGGCAGCCCCCUGGGCUAACACUGACACUCAUGCACGAAAGCGUGGGGAGCAAACAGGAUUAGAUACCCGAGUAGUC
This 300-nucleotide ribosomal RNA is filed under the name uncultured Lactobacillus sp. RNAcentral's name for it is "bacterial SSU rRNA". It matches the Rfam family "Bacterial small subunit ribosomal RNA", at positions 496 to 795 of the family's 1533-position model. The record is from RNAcentral. Lineage: Bacteria; Bacillati; Bacillota; Bacilli; Lactobacillales; Lactobacillaceae.